This 329-nucleotide small RNA is filed under the name Pan troglodytes (chimpanzee). Its description in RNAcentral is "processed transcript". Lineage: Eukaryota; Metazoa; Chordata; Mammalia; Primates; Hominidae. The record is from RNAcentral.
AAGCCUGCAGACAACACUGUCAUGCUUUUCUUUUCAACAGAUGUCCUCUGACUCCUCCCAACCUCCUAGUACAAAAAACAUAAAAAUCUUUGUAUGUUUUGCAUCUGUUUAAAAAAGAUGCCUUUAAAAAUGAUAUCAGUAUCAAGAUAAAAGUUUGGAAUGGGAGAAAAAUUCUCAAAGCCUGAAAGAAAAUCUGUAAGAAUAAAAUUCUUGAAUGAUUUUGAUCAGCUGUCGUGUAUGCCCAACACAGCAGUUGGUUUAAUCAAUUUUAUGUUUUGGGAUGGUUUUAUUAAAAUGAGCUGCUGCUUUCAGUAAAUCAUUGAGAAAGA